RNAcentral lists this long non-coding RNA (344 nucleotides) under Brassica napus (rape). RNAcentral describes it as "long non-coding RNA (BNAP_LNC020063)". Lineage: Eukaryota; Viridiplantae; Streptophyta; Magnoliopsida; Brassicales; Brassicaceae. The record is from RNAcentral.
UUGUGUAGAAGAAGAGAGAAAGUUAUGGAGUUAGUUAUUUUGAAAUAAAUAAUAAUUUAGAGAAAUCUAGAACUUGUUGGAGUGUGCUCCUCCACUUGUAUAAAUAGGGGUGCUUGGCAACAUUUGUAAUCAUCCACAUCAAGAAAACAAAGAGAGAAAACAUUUGUAAGAGAGAGUUCUCAAAAUAAAAUCUUUGUAAACCCUUUCCAAAAUUAUAAAGAGUCUUCUUCUUAAAUCUUUUAGUUGUCUAAUCCCAUCUUCAUCUCAUCGAUAUUGGGUAAUUUUCCCAACAAGUGGUAUCAGAGCCAGGUUCAAACAUAACAUCAAGACCCGUGAGAUUCAAG